Molecule: long non-coding RNA, 721 nt
Filed under: Olea europaea subsp. europaea
Lineage: Eukaryota; Viridiplantae; Streptophyta; Magnoliopsida; Lamiales; Oleaceae
Source: RNAcentral
UUCUAUAUUGAAACUUCCUUUAGGGAAGAAGCCUUUGGUAGCUUGGAAAGAUUUGUGUCUACCGAAAUCGGAAGAGGGACUUGGUUUUAGAGACAUAAAAUGUUGGAAUUCAGCAUUGCUUACAAAAUUCCUAUGGAACAUUCAUGAAAAAAAAGGAUACACUGUGGGUUAGAUGGGUUAACCACGUCUACCUACGCGGUGCAUCUGUUUGGAAGAAGACAGCCAAGAAAGAUGACUCCUCCACUUAUCAAAAGCUGCUGGAAACGAGGGACGGCUUGAUAGAACCUGUGAUCCAUGUGAAUCGUCAACUGAAACGGUUCAACGCUUAUUCUUUCAAAGUUCAUUGAGCUCCUCCACUUGGACGCAGAUAAAAUCAUGGCUUGGCAUUACUAGAUCAAUUACUACGAUUGGUAGCGCAUUGAAAUGGAAAAAAAGAGGCCUAUGGGACAUCUUGGCAUAGUAAAGUGAAGAAAAUUGCUCUUGCAAGUACAAUUUACUACAUAAGGGUGGCUCGAAAUAGAAAAUUUUUUGACCAUCGUACGCCACAUUUAGAUAGCAUAGUGAGAUGGAUUAAAACACAUGUAUACAAAGUCAUGUUUUCUUUGUAUCCUAAUGUUUUGGUUUAUUUUGAGUCACUAAUGUUGGGUUGAUAGAUCUUUGUCGUUUAUAAAUCUUUUGACUUUUAAUUUGCCCGGGUAUGCCCGGUGUAAUUGUACAUGAG